Molecule: non-coding RNA, 83 nt
Filed under: unclassified sequences
Description: freshwater-2 RNA
Rfam family: freshwater-2 RNA
About the family: Aquatic, esp. fresh water. No recognized genes
Source: RNAcentral
GUACGCAAUAAUGCGUCUUAUGCAGCAACCACUGCGUAGCGGCUAGAACCCGCAUUGGGCUUCUAUUAAGGAGAAAUCAAAUG